Misgurnus anguillicaudatus (oriental weatherfish) is the source of this 1294-nucleotide non-coding RNA. NCBI's taxonomy places the organism in Eukaryota, Metazoa, Chordata, Actinopteri, Cypriniformes, Cobitidae. The record is from RefSeq and is a predicted model, not a curated record.
UUGAAACCCUUAAAUAUAACUGGUUUAGUUACUUACAUCGUGUUUUGCACUUUCACCACCGCUAACAAUCUGAAACAUCGCGCAGACGUGUGCUCGCUCUGUACUACUUUGCAGCUCGCGCUCCGGCUAACAACUCCACCUUCUUUGAUUUGAUUGGCUAUCGCAUCAUUUUGAUUUUGACAAGCACUUUAGACUGCUGAUUGAGGCAGACAGAUAGAGGCGUUGCACAGUAUUUAAAGUUAUAUAUUAGGCAAUUAUUUCAUGAUUGUUAUUACAUCUUGAAAUAAUUAAUAAUGGACACGAGCCUGCGAGAGAAAAUGGAUUUGGUCGUAAGAGCGUGAGAAAUGGGAUCAAUUGCGUGUGCCCUGCUAUGUAUUUUCUCAAGGCCUGCGACUGAGGGUCAUAUUUCAAUUCAAAGGUUUGGAAAUGCGUUACCCAGGAGUCAUGAAAGUUAUCUAGUACAGGAAAGUCAAGCACCUUAUCUUCUAAAAGAUGCUCUGGUGACCAGACUUACAGGGAUCUUGAGCUCUUACUUGCAGGUCAGACAGUUUUUGGAGGAGGGCACAGUGUUGGAUCCCAGAUUCAAGUGAAAAGUGUCCGAUGAAGUGUGGUACAGACUGGAGGAGGAGCUGAUAUAAAUGAACAGGCUCAGGGCCAGCAGAUGAAUCAGGGGCUCAAAGAGAGAGCAGAUGACCAAGAUGACAGCUUAUCUGAUGAAGACAUGUGUGCAUCUGCCAGUGAAACAGUGAAGAGGCCAAAGCUUUCUGCCCUCGAGGAGCUGUUUGCUGUAGAGGACAUGAAAAUAAAGUAAGAAAAGAGACCACCAGCACUACAGCGACGUUUAAGGAAGAGAUAAGGCACUAAAGAUUACUUCCAUCUUCUCAGUCCUCAGCGAGUCCAGUAACCCUGGUGGUGUGACAUGAAGGACACUGCCAAUGCUUUUUUGAUUUGGCUUCAGGGUAUCUCUGUGUAUUGUUUCAUAAAACAUCAUAAGGUGGAAACUGUUGGACAGUUAGGACAGGCUAUGAAUUCUGGGUUGGCAAAGAGAAAGGAGACAUAAGCCUGCCCCCAAUCCAAAUUUAAGCUUUGAUUUUAGAUCUGAAGUCUAGUAUUUGUUGCUGGCUGGAUUCAUGUUGUUAAUGUGCAGUUAAUGCAUAUACUAUAUAUGUGCAUUAACAUAUAUAUAUUAUGUGCAUAAAUGUAUACCACAUUGUUUGUAAAAUCUGAUUCAGUGCCCACUGAUUUAUUGGGGGAGUGUGAUAAAAAUGUCUGUCAAUUAAAAUUAUUUACAUAA